AUUGAACGCUGGCGGCAUGCUUUACACAUGCAAGUCGAACGGUAACAGGCCUUCGGGUGCUGACGAGUGGCGUACGGGUGAGUAAUGCAUCGGAACGUGCCCAGAGGUGGGGGAUAACGCAGCGAAAGCUGUGCUAAUACCGCAUGUGAUCUGAGGAUGAAAGCGGGGGACCAGGCAGCAAUGUUUGGCCUCGCGCCUGUGGAGCGGCCGAUGUCAGAUUAGGUAGGUGGUGGGGUAAAGGCCUACCAAGCCGACGAUCUGUAGCUGGUCUGAGAGGACGACCAGCCACACUGGGACUGAGAAACGGCCCAGACUCCUACGGGAGGCAGCAGUGGGGAAUUUUGGACAAUGGGCGCAAGCCUGAUCCAGCAAUGCCGCGUGCGGGAAGAAGGCCUUCGGGUUGUAAACCGCUGUUGUACGGAACGAAAAGGCUCUGGCUAAUACCUGGGGAUGAUGACGGUACCGUAAGAAUAAGCACCGGCUAACUACGUG
RNAcentral lists this ribosomal RNA (492 nucleotides) under uncultured bacterium. RNAcentral describes it as "partial 16S ribosomal RNA". It matches the Rfam family "Bacterial small subunit ribosomal RNA", at positions 29 to 507 of the family's 1533-position model. The record is from RNAcentral.